Molecule: long non-coding RNA, 659 nt
Organism: Vicia villosa (hairy vetch)
Lineage: Eukaryota; Viridiplantae; Streptophyta; Magnoliopsida; Fabales; Fabaceae
Exons: 3
Source: RefSeq, a predicted model, not a curated record
AUAUGAUUUCGAUCGUGUUGCUUCUUCCGAAAAGAACGUUUUAGGAUUCUCGGUUUGGAUUCCAAGCUUGAAAAGAAUCUUUUCAUCCCCUUCAGAGAGAUCAAGGUUGAAUGAACAGUCGCAAAAGAUGAUGAAACGUUGGUUUCUUAUGUUGGUUUUAGGAUCCAAUACGACAAUGCUCUUGUGUGCUCUGGUUUUUCUCUUAUGUAAAGGUUUCGUGUCAGUAUGCUUCUUAUGUGGUGGAACAUGUAGAUGCAAUGCAAUUUGUGGUCAAUGCUUACAUUGCAGCUAUCUGAUUUUUGAAGUUGCAAUCCGAAAAAAGUUGUCGCUGUUAUGGUUACAAUGGGAAUAUAACUAUCCAAUCCUGAUAUGGACCAUUGAAUUGCAGGAAACCCAGGUAGAGAUCGCUGUAUAAACUUAAUGGAAAUUUCAUUUAUUUUUCCUUGCCUGUCUUCACAAUUGCUAAUGAGAUGAGUUGCUUGCAGGAUUAAUUGUUUCUUGAUAGGGACAGAUGCAGAUAUUUCAAUAAUACAGAAGAUUCUUCAGUUCUUCUCCGUGUAAAAGAAGACCACGACGGGGCAGAACCAUCGGGGAACUCUGUCUCCGCAAUAAAUCUUAUGAGGAAGUCUUCCGUGGUCUCUGGAAGUAAUGCAGAUCAU